RNAcentral lists this small RNA (519 nucleotides) under Pan troglodytes (chimpanzee). Its description in RNAcentral is "retained intron". Lineage: Eukaryota; Metazoa; Chordata; Mammalia; Primates; Hominidae. The record is from RNAcentral.
GCGGUUCUGUCUGGGAAGGAGAGAAAAUGGCGGCGGAGCCGAACAAGACCGAAAUCCAGACUCUUUUUAAGAGGCUUCGCGCAGUUCCAACCAACAAGGCCUGUUUCGACUGCGGCGCCAAGAAUCCGAGUUGGGCCAGCAUCACGUACGGUGUUUUCUUGUGCAUUGACUGUUCCGGGGUGCACCGCUCCCUGGGCGUCCAUCUGAGCUUCAUCAGGUAGGCUCUCCGCGCGGUUGCCGUGUUUCCACCCGGCCGGCCAGGGCUGUCUGGGCAACAAGGGAGAGUGGCUGCCUCGACUUGGGCCGCUCUGAAUUCGGUGGGAAGCCUCUGGGCCGAGAGGGUCCGGUAGCCUCCUGCCAGAGAGAACCACCUGUGUGGGCCCUUUGGCACAUGGGCGGUCCGUCUCCGCCUCUGGGCCAAAACUUCCUCUUUUUUGACGGUCAGGCUUGAGACUCUGAGCGUUAGUUGGGGGGAAAGGGAGGCAUUGACCUUGUUGUUGCUGAUAUGUUGUUAGCCCA